This is an RNA transcript of Aplysia californica (California sea hare), 749 nucleotides long. It is a transcript of the gene named neuronal growth regulator 1, with no coding region annotated. The record is from RefSeq and is a predicted model, not a curated record. Lineage: Eukaryota; Metazoa; Mollusca; Gastropoda; Aplysiida; Aplysiidae. The transcript has 3 exons.
ACAUUAUAUAAUUUAGUUAUCUCCAUAUAUAUUCUACUCUACUCCACAGGCCUACUACGCAGCUGAAUAUCUUACAACGAUGAACAGAUUCAUUCUUUCAGCCGUACUGUUGGUGGUUAUGGUGUGCCACGCGACCAGCCAAUCACUGACACCUCAGCAAUCAACUGUCACUAUACAGUACAUGGAGGGUGACACGGCUAUCUUGCCAUGUUCUCUGAGCCGUGAAGGACGAUAUUCGUAAGGGAAGACAACCCUUCGGUACUUAUAUAAGCUUCAGAAAUGAUCUAUGGAUCGCAGUUGCUGUAUUUUUUUUUCUCGACACUGUGGCUGCCGCACGGGAGACGACAGAAAACUGUAGAAAGUAGAUGUUAAUUAAAAAUGGGAGAGUGGCGAGGAUGGCUACCACCAGAGGAGGCUCGUCAUGGUUUGUAGAACUGCUUCCCCCCCCCCUCUCCCCCCCCCCCCCUCUCUCUCUCUCUCUCUCUCUCUCUCUCUCUCGACAAGACAAGACAAGACAAGACAAGACAAGACAAGACAAGACAAGACAAGACAAGGCAAGACAAGACAAGGCAAGACAAGACAAACGUUCCUAAAAAGGUGGAAAUAAUGCGAAGUGCACUGAGUCGUGCAUUGAGAUCGGAAUUUCGAUUAUCGGUAUGAACUUUGUACAUACACGACUACUGCCAUUGUAAUAGAUUGCUAGGACUGGACAAAUCUCUCCCUGCCAUAAUAAAUAUUAUAUGAAUAAA